AAUUCUAAUUUUUAUCUAAUAAAAUAUUUUCAUAAAAAAUUUAUA
RNAcentral lists this unclassified non-coding RNA (45 nucleotides) under Clostridioides difficile T11. RNAcentral describes it as "U7". Lineage: Bacteria; Bacillati; Bacillota; Clostridia; Peptostreptococcales; Peptostreptococcaceae. The record is from RNAcentral.